Molecule: ribosomal RNA, 888 nt
Filed under: uncultured bacterium
Lineage: Bacteria
Description: bacterial SSU rRNA
Rfam family: Bacterial small subunit ribosomal RNA
Source: RNAcentral
AGAGUUUGAUCCUGGCUCAGGAUAAACGCUGGCGGCGUGCUUAACACAUGCAAGUCGAACGAAGUUUUUCUUUCGGGAUAAACUUAGUGGCGGACGGGUGAGUAACGCGUGGGUAACCUGCCCUGUACAGGGGGACAACAGCUGGAAACGGCUGCUAAUACCGCAUAAGCCCUUAGCACUGCAUGGUGCAUAGGGAAAAGGAGUAAUCCGGUACAGGAUGGACCCGCGUCUGAUUAGCCAGUUGGCAGGGUAACGGCCUACCAAAGCGACGAUCAGUAGCCGAUCUGAGAGGAUGUACGGCCACAUUGGGACUGAGACACGGCCCAGACUCCUACGGGAGGCAGCAGUGGGGAAUAUUGCACAAUGGAGGAAACUCUGAUGCAGCGACGCCGCGUGAGUGAAGAAGUAUUUCGGUAUGUAAAGCUCUAUCAGCAGGGAAGAAAAUGACGGUACCUGGCUAAGAAGCACCGGCUAAAUACGUGCCAGCAGCCGCGGUAAUACGUAUGGUGCAAGCGUUAUCCGGAUUUACUGGGUGUAAAGGGAGCGUAGGUGGCAAGGCAAGCCAGAAGUGAAAACCCGGGGCUCAACCGCGGGAUUGCUCUUGGAACUGUCAUGCUAGAGUGCAGGAGGGGUGAGCGGAAUUCCUAGUGUAGCGGUGAAAUGCGUAGAUAUUAGGAGGAACACCGGAGGCGAAGGCGGCUCACUGGACUGUAACUGACACUGAGGCUCGAAAGCGUGGGGAGCAAACAGGAUUAGAUACCCUGGUAGUCCGCACGGUAAACGAUGGAUGCCCGCUGUUGGUCUGAAUAGGUCAGCGGCCAAGCGAAAGCAUUAAGCAUCCCACCUGGGGAGUACGCCGGCAACGGUGAAACUCAAAGGAAUUGACGG